CCUACGUGAGGCAGCAGUGAGGAAUAUUGGUCAAUGGGCGCGAGCCUGAACCAGCCAAGUCGCGUGAGGGAAGACGGUCCUAUGGAUUGUAAACCUCUUUUGUCGGGGAGCAAAAGACGCCACGCGUGGCGUUCCGAGAGUACCCGAAGAAAAAGCAUCGGCUACUCCGUGCCACCAGCCGCGGUAAUACGGAGGAUGCGGGCGUUAUCCGGUUUUAUUGGGUUUAAAGGGUGCGAAGGCGGAAGAUCAAGGCAGUGGUAAAAUUGAGAGGGUAAACCUCUUCGAGCCGUUGAAACUGGUUUUCUUGAGUGAGUGAGAGGUAUGCGGAAUGCGUGGUGUAGCGGUGAAAUGCAUAGAUAUCACGCAGAACUCCGAUUGCGAAGGCAGCAUACCGGCGCUCAACUGACGCUCAUGCACGAAAGUGUGGGUAUCGAACAGGAUUAGAUACCCGAGUAGUC
This 458-nucleotide ribosomal RNA is filed under the name uncultured bacterium. RNAcentral's name for it is "partial 16S ribosomal RNA". It matches the Rfam family "Bacterial small subunit ribosomal RNA", at positions 338 to 795 of the family's 1533-position model. The record is from RNAcentral.